AGGACGAACGCUGGCGGCGUGCUUAACACAUGCAAGUCGAGCGAGGCCCUCUCUUCGGAGAGGUGCCCUAGCGGCGAACGGGUGAGUAACACGUGGGCAACCUGCCCCUAGCACUGGGAUAAGCCCGGGAAACCGGGUCUAAUACCGGAUAUGACCUUCAAGGGCAUCCUCGAAGGUGUAAAGGAUUCCGGCUAGGGAUGGGCCCGCGGCCUAUCAGCUUGUUGGUGGGGUAACGGCCCACCAAGGCAACGACGGGUAGCCGGCCUGAGAGGGCGACCGGCCACGACUGGGACUGAGACACGGCCCAGACUCCUACGGGAGGCAGCAGUGGGGAAUAUUGCACAAUGGGCGAAAGCCUGAUGCAGCGACGCCGCGUGAGGGAUGACGGCCUUCGGGUUGUAAACCUCUUUCAGCUCCGACGAAGCGAAAGUGACGGUAGGAGCAGAAGAAGCACCGGCCAACUACGUGCCAGCAGCCGCGGU
Molecule: ribosomal RNA, 482 nt
Filed under: uncultured bacterium
Lineage: Bacteria
Description: SSU rRNA
Rfam family: Bacterial small subunit ribosomal RNA
Source: RNAcentral